This 431-nucleotide ribosomal RNA is filed under the name uncultured archaeon. Its description in RNAcentral is "bacterial SSU rRNA". It matches the Rfam family "Archaeal small subunit ribosomal RNA", at positions 474 to 903 of the family's 1478-position model. The record is from RNAcentral.
UACCAGCUCUCCGAGUGGUAGGGAUGAUUAUUGGGCUUAAAGCGUCCGUAGCUGGCCUCUCAAGUCUCUCGUUAAAUCCAGCGAUUUAAUCGUUGGACUGCGGGAGAUACUGUUAGGCUAGGAGACGGGAGAAGCCGACGGUAUUUUCGGAGUAGGGGUAAAAUCCUAUAAUCCCGGGAAGACCACCAGUGGCGUAGGCGGUCGGCUAGCACGCGCUCGACGGUGAGGGACGAAAGCUGGGGGAGCGAACCGGAUUAGAUACCCGGGUAGUCCCAGCUGUAAACGAUGCGGACUAGGUGUUGGAGCGGCUACGAGCCGCUUCAGUGCCGCAGGGAGCCAUUAAGCCGCCGCCGAGGGGAGUACGGCCGCAAGGCUAGAAACUUAAAGGAAUUGGGCGGGGGAGCACCACGAAGGGGUGAAGCUCGCGGUUU